Molecule: long non-coding RNA, 3335 nt
Organism: Siniperca chuatsi (mandarin fish)
Lineage: Eukaryota; Metazoa; Chordata; Actinopteri; Centrarchiformes; Sinipercidae
Exons: 5
Source: RefSeq, a predicted model, not a curated record
AGACAGAGAGAGAGAGAGAGAGGAAGAGUUGAUAUGGAGCUGAGCAGUACACAAGGAGACAUGGAAAAAGUGUGUUGUAGUGAUGCGUGUGUGAGCAUAUGCGUGUGUGUGUGUGUCUUUCUCGGAGGGGCGGAGCCAGGAUUUUGGCGUGCUUGCUGGGUAAUAAGCAUACGGUCCACAAGGAUUAGGGUUUAGACUAACCUCAAUCUCCUCCUCUGACCAGGGGUGCUGCUAAUAAGCUUACGCAACUUGUGCACAUGGACUGCACACACACACACACACACACACACACACACACACACACACACACACACACACACACACACACGGCCUGAUUGUUCAGGGACUCCCUGGUGAGAAACAGUGUGUUGAUAGAUGUUAAGCCACCUCAUUUCUUCUGUCAUGUUAAAGGAAUAAAGGCACAUUAGUCCUCUGACUUGCCAUGAAGUGAAAAACCUACAAAAAUCAUACACAAACCGUGGGUGUGCGUGUGUUUGCGUGGUGAGGGUGUAAUCCUAUUUCAAGUUGUCUCAGGCCAUGAGGAUUAUGAUUGAUAUAACUGGAAAAUGGGUGACUUAAAGUGGUCACUGAAGAGCAGCGGCUGACUGAGGUGAAGAGGCAAACAACUCCAUUUUAUCCAAGGCUUGGCGAUCUCAUUAGUGUUCUAACUUCUUCUUCCUUUUUUUUUUUUUUUUUUUUUUUUUUUUUUUUUAAACAGGGCUAGCAUAUAUUGUAUUGUUAUUAGAAAGUCGAUAGUAGAGAGGUGAGAGGAAAUGAGGGAAAGGAGAGAUGAUAUGCAAUGCCACGGCUCAAACUGGGGAUGUUGCGAUUUCAUGGUCAGCUCCUUAAGCGCCUAGACCACCGGAGCACCCCGCCUUUUUAUGUUUUUACCUCUGAGGUGUGGUCGAAGUCGAAGGCAGAUUUAUACAACAAUAAAGUGAAAACUGAUGAGUCAGGCAUGAAUGGCUAUGCUACACUUACUUAUGUUAUUAUUUGUGUCAAGCCCAAAAUGCGCCAACCGGACAUGGACCAAAAAUACUGCUGCAGUGGUGAAACAUUAUCAGACAAUAACAUAACUUCUUACAGAUUUUGCAUUAAAGGCUCUGCACACCUAUAGUACGAAGACUGCACAAGUGAUUUCACUUAGUUGAUUAGACCUCUUCUCAGGACUGUGUGGCCAUGUACAAACUGUGUUUGAUGGACAUCUCCCUCUUGUGAGCUUUGUUGCACGUGAUUGGGUGGGCCAAUUACACCUUUAUCGUGCUUAUUAGUACAUAGAGCCCUGUGACCUCAUGUAAUUCCUAUCAAAGCUACCACCACCUUCAAACUAGAGCUCUAAUCAGCGUAACUUUCAGGGCCUUUAAACUUCUUCUGGCUCCAGACCUUUGAAUCGCUGCCCAUCUUUAAACAAGUCUGGCAUUGUGCUAAGGGACUAAGAAUGAGGAGGCCAUCUUCCUGUGCCAGAGCCAGAAAAAUAUAGAUAGAAAAUUUGCCAUAAAAAAUGGCGACAAGCGUGGAUUGACACAGCUAAAAAGGUUAUUUUAGGUUGACUUACAGGAGUAACAACACAUCAACAUAUUUGUUUGAUUUGAAAGCUUAAGUUAACUGCAGAUUUCACGUCACCUGAAAAUGAUGAUUGUUUAGAGCAAAACAACAACUUCUCACAGAAAACAGCAAAUAUGAACACGAUGUCAGUCUGAAUGAUGAAGUGAAAGGAAAUGGCACUUCAGUCUCGUUAUCAUUUAUUCACACUGCAAUUUGAACUUUUCCUACUUUUCUAGAUUUAACCCUGCUCUCUGCAUAUGAGUGAUCCCUGUCUGGUAGUCCAAACUGAUGCUAUUCAUGUCUUGGUGACUUCACUGUGUUUUUAAUUUUACAAGUUGUCUUCAAUGUUUUAUGUUUUCACAUCCACCUGUGUUUUUCACUUCCCCAGACUGCUGGAUUCACUGAAAAUAUCCCCACUGACAAUCUGACAUGAACUAUGCUUAUACUAUAUUUGCAUAGAGAACAACAGAUUGUUAGCAGCAGUAGCCAUGUUUUCAAUAAGUACUGCUAAAACGAGAAGUGCUUAAAUAAGUGUCUCAGAUGUGUAUGUAUGCCCACCCACAUCCUUUUCACACACAUACAUUCAUGCAUUCAUGACCACACACAUUGUUGCAAUACCAUUUAACCACAUUGGAAAUGGGGAGGUCAGAACGAACUUGUUUUGGUGUCUCUAAUUUUAAAAAAAGUGCUAUUCCAUCAACACUUGCGGCAUUUUUAACAGUCUAAAGAAGGUAUGCUCAGUGCCUCUUAGGCCUUGAAGAUGGGAAGGAUGGAUUCCAAAGACAAACUGAUUUGUUCCAUUGCAAAAGGAAAGCCACCACAUGGGUUCUUACUAAGAAAACCAGAAAACCACUUGAGCUUUAUCGUCACAGAGUUUCAGUUCAGAGACGUGUGAAUGAGGGCACAAGUAUUUUUAAACACUAAAAUCUCUCCCACCAUGUAGAGCAAUCAUAAAUAUUAAAAUGAACAUAUUUGUACAUUUUAAAUGGGGUGUUUCCACUGGUAAUUAGGGUUAACAUGAUCUUACUUGAACUUGAGAGGAGAUGUGUUAGUUAGCUCUUCACACUUCUUGCAAGUGUGUGAUAGAGAGAGACAAAACAGGGGGGGGGGGCUGUGUGAAGCUGCUGUGUGCUGGUCAACAUCUAAAUGCUCCAGUAACAGACUCUGGCUGUGGCAGCGGGUGUAGAUGGCAUCUCCAUUGACUGAGCUGGAGGUGUUGACGAUCAUGUUCUCUCUCCUGGUUUUCGCCCUCUUCACACUUACUGGGAUGUUCAAAGAGGAAUGUGCAGACUCGAAUGAGACAAAGACACAACCACAGAGCGAAGAGCUGAUCGUUUGAAAACAGUGGUCAACAGCUGCCUUUCUUCCUGUUCGAUGCCUAAUGAGGACGUGUCAGCCAAACCCUCAUGAUCCAGUGCUAUUUGCUUCCAGGAUGAGGCACAAAGGAGUGGCCUAGAUGGUACACUGUUAAAAAAAAAAAAUCAAUCAACAAAACACCUGCUUCAACCAACUGUUCCAACUGCCUUCUUUUCUCGUGGUAUGUGAACAUACACACAAGUCCUUUUAUUUUGAUCUUCAGAUGUGAAAAUAGCUGCUGAUUCUUCCACUGAACCAUUCAUCCGAUCGAGGACCCAAGGGAGAGCAGUGUCGAGUGUGACGUCAAUCAAAUGAGCGGUUCUCUUGACAGCGCUCCAAGCAAUCGGCCCACUCUGAACGGGCACGCACUCCAAACUGCCUCGCGCUCUGAACGCCCCCCCCAACAAGGCUGCAAGCAGCAAUGGAUGAGAGCA